This 589-nucleotide ribosomal RNA is filed under the name uncultured bacterium. RNAcentral describes it as "partial 16S ribosomal RNA". It matches the Rfam family "Bacterial small subunit ribosomal RNA", at positions 355 to 1375 of the family's 1533-position model. The record is from RNAcentral.
UGGGGAAUUUUGGACAAUGGGCGAAAGCCUGAUCCAGCAAUGCCGCGUGUGUGAAGAAGGCCUUCGGGUUGUAAAGCACUUUUGUCCGGAAAGAAAUCCUUGGCUCUAAUACAGUCGGGGGAUGACGGUACCGGAAGAAUAAGCACCGGCUAACUACGUGCCAGCAGCCGCGGUAAUACGUAGGGUGCAAGCGUUAAUCGGAAUUACUGGGCGUAAAGCGUGCGCAGGCGGUUUGCUAAGACCGAUGUGAAAUCCCGGCGUCAACCUGGGAACUGGCAUUGGUGAUGCUGGCAGGCUAGAGUAUGGCAGAGGGGGGUAAAUUCCACGUGUAGCAGUGAAAAUGCGUAGAGAUGUGGAGGAAUACCGAUGGCGAAGGCAGCCCCCUGGGCAAUACUGACGCUCAUGCACGAAAAGCGUGGGGAGCAAAACAGGAUUAGAUACCCUGGUAGUCCACGCCCUAAAACGAUGUCAACUAGUUGUUGGGGAUUCAUUUCCUUAGUAACGUAGCUAACGCGUGAAGUUGACCGCCUGGGGAGUACGGUCGCAAGAUUAAAACUCAAAGGAAUUGACGGGGUCAUAGCUGUUUCCU